This 539-nucleotide ribosomal RNA is filed under the name Sporothrix schenckii. RNAcentral describes it as "eukaryotic LSU rRNA". It matches the Rfam family "Eukaryotic large subunit ribosomal RNA", at positions 101 to 664 of the family's 3401-position model. Lineage: Eukaryota; Fungi; Ascomycota; Sordariomycetes; Ophiostomatales; Ophiostomataceae. The record is from RNAcentral.
GCAACAGCUCAAAUUUGAAAUCUGGCCCCCCGGCCCGAGUUGUAAUUUGGAGAGGAUGCUUCUGGCGCGGCGCCGUCCGAGUUCCUUGGAACAGGACGCCACAGAGGGUGAGAGCCCCGUACGGACGGACGCCUAGCCUCUACGAAGCUCCUUCGACGAGUCGAGUAGUUUGGGAAUGCUGCUCAAAAUGGGAGGUAAAUUUCUUCUAAAGCUAAAUACCGGCCAGAGACCGAUAGCGCACAAGUAGAGUGAUCGAAAGAUGAAAAGCACUUUGAAAAGAGGGUUAAAAAGUACGUGAAAUUGUUGAAAGGGAAGCGCCUGUGACCAGACUUGCGCCCCGCGGACCACCCGGCGUUCUCGCCGGUGCACUCUGCGGUGCGCAGGCCAGCAUCGGUUCUCCCAGGGGGACAAAGGCCGCGGGAACGUAGCUCCUUCGGGAGUGUUAUAGCCCGCGGCGGCAUGCCCCUGGGGGGACCGAGGACCGCGCUUCGGCAAGGAUGCUGGCGUAAUGGUCACCAGCGACCCGUCUUGAACCACGG